RNAcentral lists this ribosomal RNA (476 nucleotides) under Gemella morbillorum. RNAcentral's name for it is "bacterial SSU rRNA". It matches the Rfam family "Bacterial small subunit ribosomal RNA", at positions 28 to 485 of the family's 1533-position model. Lineage: Bacteria; Bacillati; Bacillota; Bacilli; Caryophanales; Gemellaceae. The record is from RNAcentral.
GACGAACGCUGGCGGCGUGCCUAAUACAUGCAAGUCGAGCGAAGUUUUUCUGGUGCUUGCACUAGAAAAACUUAGCGGCGAACGGGUGAGUAACACGUAAAGAACCUGCCUCAUAGACUGGGACAACUAUUGGAAACGAUAGCUAAUACCGGAUAACAGUAUUUCUCGCAUGAGAGAUAUUUAAAAGUUGGUUAUGCUAACACUAUGAGAUGGCUUUGCGGUGCAUUAGCUAGUUGGUGGGGUAAAGGCCCACCAAGGCGACGAUGCAUAGCCGACCUGAGAGGGUGAUCGGCCACACUGGGACUGAGACACGGCCCAGACUCCUACGGGAGGCAGCAGUAGGGAAUCUUCCGCAAUGGGCGAAAGCCUGACGGAGCAACGCCGCGUGAGUGAAGAAGGAUUUCGGUUCGUAAAGCUCUGUUGUCAGGGAAGAAUGGAUAUGUAGUAACUAUACAUGUAAGAGACGGACCUAACCA